ACGAACGCUGGCGGCAUGCCUAACACAUGCAAGUCGAACGCGACCUUCGGGUCUAGUGGCGCACGGGUGCGUAACGCGUGGGAACCUGCCCUUAGGUUCGGAAUAACUCCCCGAAAGGGGUGCUAAUACCGGAUAAUGUCUUCGGACCAAAGAUUUAUCGCCUUUGGAUGGGCCCGCGUUGGAUUAGCUAGUUGGUAGGGUAAAAGCCUACCAAGGCGACGAUCCAUAGCUGGUCUGAGAGGAUGAUCAGCCACACUGGGACUGAGACACGGCCCAGACUCCUACGGGGGGCAGCAGUGGGGAAUAUUGGACAAUGGGCGAAAGCCUGAUCCAGCAAUGCCGCGUGAGUGAUGAAGGCCUUAGGGUUGUAAAGCUCUUUUACCCGGGAUGAUAAUGACAGUACCGGGAGAAUAAGCUCCGGCUAACUCCGUG
Molecule: ribosomal RNA, 432 nt
Filed under: uncultured bacterium
Lineage: Bacteria
Description: partial 16S ribosomal RNA
Rfam family: Bacterial small subunit ribosomal RNA
Source: RNAcentral